RNAcentral lists this ribosomal RNA (923 nucleotides) under Weissella cibaria. RNAcentral's name for it is "bacterial SSU rRNA". It matches the Rfam family "Bacterial small subunit ribosomal RNA", at positions 1 to 876 of the family's 1533-position model. Lineage: Bacteria; Bacillati; Bacillota; Bacilli; Lactobacillales; Lactobacillaceae. The record is from RNAcentral.
CCCCCCCAUAGAGUUUGAUUUUGGCUCAGGAUGAACGCUGGCGGCGUGCCUAAUACAUGCAAGUCGAACGCUUUGUGGUUCAACUGAUUUGAAGAGCUUGCUCAGAUAUGACGAUGGACAUUGCAAAGAGUGGCGAACGGGUGAGUAACACGUGGGAAACCUACCUCUUAGCAGGGGAUAACAUUUGGAAACAGAUGCUAAUACCGUAUAACAAUAGCAACCGCAUGGUUGCUACUUAAAAGAUGGUUCUGCUAUCACUAAGAGAUGGUCCCGCGGUGCAUUAGUUAGUUGGUGAGGUAAUGGCUCACCAAGACGAUGAUGCAUAGCCGAGUUGAGAGACUGAUCGGCCACAAUGGGACUGAGACACGGCCCAUACUCCUACGGGAGGCAGCAGUAGGGAAUCUUCCACAAUGGGCGAAAGCCUGAUGGAGCAACGCCGCGUGUGUGAUGAAGGGUUUCGGCUCGUAAAACACUGUUGUAAGAGAAGAAUGACAUUGAGAGUAACUGUUCAAUGUGUGACGGUAUCUUACCAGAAAGGAACGGCUAAAUACGUGCCAGCAGCCGCGGUAAUACGUAUGUUCCAAGCGUUAUCCGGAUUUAUUGGGCGUAAAGCGAGCGCAGACGGUUAUUUAAGUCUGAAGUGAAAGCCCUCAGCUCAACUGAGGAAUUGCUUUGGAAACUGGAUGACUUGAGUGCAGUAGAGGAAAGUGGAACUCCAUGUGUAGCGGUGAAAUGCGUAGAUAUAUGGAAGAACACCAGUGGCGAAGGCGGCUUUCUGGACUGUAACUGACGUUGAGGCUCGAAAGUGUGGGUAGCAAACAGGAUUAGAUACCCUGGUAGUCCACACCGUAAACGAUGAGUGCUAGGUGUUUGAGGGUUUCCGCCCUUAAGUGCCGCAGCUAACGCAUAAGCACUCCGCCUGG